AGUGUAAUGUAAUUAAAAGAACGGCUCAGAAACAUGUGCUUUAAAAUCUCAUUAACUACAUUUAUAUUUGUCACAGGAAAGUUUACCCAGGUAUCAGUAAGAAACAUGCUGAAAUGAUCUCAGAGUUAUUCUAGUUUAGUCUUAAUGAACAAAAAUCUCUUACCUUUUUGUUUUGUAUAAAAACUCAGUAGAAUUGAACAAUUUUCUUCUAUCCCCAUUUCACCUCAUCACAGUCAUGAUAUCUAUGGGUAUGUCUACAGGGCUCAUUGCAGACGCUCCAACCUGUUACACAUCUUCCUGGCUGAAGUUGGACACUGAGGUGCCCAGUGAAGCCUGGAACAGGAUGCAUCAUGCCACUGAAACAGGCUUUCCAGCUGCAUGUUCCCAGCUGUGACCAACUGAAGGGAGAGAAUUACCAAAUAAGAACAGGCUGAACAAGACAAUAAUCUCCUCCAAUCAAAGCCUGCCAGGCUUGAAGACAGUCCAGAGUCUCUGUAGCACUGUGUGAAUCAGUCCUGCCUCUGGCAUGCCUUGGCCCCAGGAUAUGCUGCACACACCCUUUUGCCCAGCUGGAGAGGACUUCACUGAAUGAAUGGCUUUUKGCAGCCUUCCAUAUGGCUUACCUUGACAUAUCCUUCUCUCAAGAGGGCUGAGAACGCUGUGCAGUCCUCUUCUAAGCUACUGCCAAAACUGCCUCUGCUAUUGAGCAGUGCCAUGGCCGUUCUGCUCAUCCCGCCAUUGCAUGCAUGUGUGAUAGUUCGGAUGACACGAAUGAUGGACGUGAUCUUCAUGUCUGACACAGAGAGGGAGCUGUUGAGGCUGCAAAUAGCAACAAGCAAAAAAAUCAAGAGUCAGGUGCAUCUGUACCAAAAUAACAGUCAUAUGGAUCGAUAG
Molecule: long non-coding RNA, 894 nt
Filed under: Dromaius novaehollandiae (emu)
Lineage: Eukaryota; Metazoa; Chordata; Aves; Casuariiformes; Dromaiidae
Description: lncRNA (ENSDNVG00000013130.1)
Source: RNAcentral